GGAGGUGUGGCUCAAUGGCAGAGCGCUUGCCUAGCAUGUGCAAGGACCUGGGUUGGAUCCCCAGGUCACCA
Molecule: transfer RNA, 71 nt
Filed under: Marmota monax (woodchuck)
Lineage: Eukaryota; Metazoa; Chordata; Mammalia; Rodentia; Sciuridae
Description: tRNA.Ala
Source: RNAcentral